This 86-nucleotide transfer RNA is filed under the name Candidatus Omnitrophota bacterium. RNAcentral describes it as "Candidatus Omnitrophica bacterium tRNA-Leu". It matches the Rfam family "tRNA". Rfam says of the family: Transfer RNA (tRNA) molecules are approximately 80 nucleotides in length. Lineage: Bacteria; Pseudomonadati; Candidatus Omnitrophota. The record is from RNAcentral.
GCCGGGGUGUCGAAAUUGGCAAACGAUGUAGACUUAAAAUCUACCGUUCCGCAAGGAGCUUGCGGGUUCAAGUCCCGCCCCCGGCA